GUUUUCCCAGAUAGGUUAGUGAUGAGCCGAUGACCCACAUUUAAAAUGAGGUUAUGGCUUAUCAGGGUUUUAUCUGAAGUAUCAGGGUCCUGGAAAGCUCUAACAAGCCUAUCUCUAAUAUUUUUUCCUCUCCUGUAGUUUAUCAUAGGUGGUUCUUUGAAGGUCCCUAAUAAGGUCCUAAUGUUUUCAAAUUAUGUCUUUCAUGUUGCUGGUUUUUGGUGUGAAGGUUGUACAAAAGACAAGGUUAGGUUUAAGUUUGGGAGAUUUCUUAGUUUCCUGCUUACAGAAGUCACCUUCUGUUCUGCAGAUCUUAACCAGUCCUCUCUGUUUUUCUUUAAAUUUGUUCGACAUCUCUUCUUUACCAUCAUUGUAUUUCUCUGGAAUUUCACAAAAACGUUUGAGUCUAAUCAGUUGGCUUACAGGUUGGCUUUUUUUGAGGUGGUUCGGAUGGAAACUUGUGGUAUGAAGUAAUGUAUUUCGGAUUAACAGUCUGUCAACAAAAGGCUUGAAUGGAUCAUGUCUGGGCUCCAGCGAGCAUUGUGCCCCAUCGGUGGUUCAGUGUUAGCUUUAGGCAGGCUGAUUUUCAAUAAAGUUUCACACUGACUGUGUGUGUGUGUGUGUGUGUGUGUGUGGCUGCAGUGUUGGGUCCUGAGAAAGCCUGUCCUGGGAGUCCUGAGAGAGAUCUGACUGAUCAAACUGUUUAAGGAGAAACUAUGUCCAUCAGUAUAUUUCAUACAUUAUUUUUUAAUUUUUUUAUUUUUUCUCGAAGUGACAUCAGAAACAGCAGCAUGUGACAUCACGUGAUGGCGGAGCUUCAGUUCAUCCUUUGUCAUCCUUUUUUUUUUUUUUUUUUUUUUUUUUUAAUAGGACAGGGGGAAAGAAUGAAAGAAAGAGGGGGAGAGGAAGAAAGAAAACCAAAGGGGAGAAGAGACGGUGAGAAGGGGGGGAAGAGAGAAAAAAAAACAACAAAAAAAAACAACUCCUGGGUCACCUGUAUGGAGAGAAAGAAAAACAAAAAAAACAGGGGAGACAGCAAACAACAAAGAGCAACAUAAUAAAAAAAAAAAAAAAAGCACCAUCACAAUAAACUAGCUAGUCAUAGAUAUCAAUAGUUACUAAAUAGUAAACGAUAUUGUGCAGCACGCAAGAUAGACAGCGCACAGUGUGCUUUGAGGCAGCAGCCAAGAAAGCUGUAGUCCGCAUCUGUGAAUACCCAUGUGUACACCUGUGUGCAUACCUGUGUGGAUCAGCAUGCUUGCAUUCCAAAGGUUUCUCCAUGUAAUGAUCUGCUAGAGAGUGUGGGGAGCCACAGCCCUGUCCUCUAUGGUAUCAAGCAGGUAUGGAGGAGAUCAAAACUCCAGACAUCCAGAGGCCCCCAGAACACAAGAGACCAAGGAAGACCCACAGAGGGGCAGCCGCGUCACUGUCAUACAUUAUCUGUCAUAUUAUCAAAGAAAUCAAUAGGUAUAUGCAUUCAGACAGAGACACACACACACACACACACACAUACACACUGCUGAUGGUUCCUAUCGGGUCUGUCUGCCCCUCAGUAAAUACUGUUUCUCAUAAAUAAGAAAAUUAUGAGCUUCAAUAAAUCUGCACAUAAAAUGUUUUUCAUAUAAGGGUGGAACUCUGCAGAGGAGCCGCACUCACACACUCUCACAGACACACUUUACACACUUUCAGUGGGAUGCACAUGUGCAAAGAAAUGAAAAACACUUCACAAACAGCACACACACACGUGCACACCAUUAGCUCUC
This is a long non-coding RNA of Astatotilapia calliptera (eastern happy), 1760 nucleotides long. The record is from Ensembl. Lineage: Eukaryota; Metazoa; Chordata; Actinopteri; Cichliformes; Cichlidae.